RNAcentral lists this ribosomal RNA (292 nucleotides) under uncultured bacterium. Its description in RNAcentral is "partial 16S ribosomal RNA". The record is from RNAcentral.
GGACUACCAGGGUUUCUAAUCCUGUUUGCUCCCCACGCUUUCGCGCCUCAGCGUCAGUUGCGAGCCAGAAAGCCGCCUUCGCCUCUGGUGUUCUUCCUAAUAUCUACGAAUUUCACCUCUACACUAGGAAUUCCACUUUCCUCUCUCGCACUCUAGCAUUCCAGUAUGAAACGCACCUCCCGGGUUAAGCCCGGGGCUUUCACGCCUCACUUAAAAUACCGCCUACGCGCCCUUUACGCCCAGUCAUUCCGAACAACGCUAGCCCCCUCCGUCUUACCGCGGCUGCUGGCAC